GGUUGAUCCUGCCAGUAGUCAUAUGCUCGUCUCAAAGGUUAAGCCAUGCAAGCCUAAGUACAAACUUGGAUAGCUGUAAGGCAUACAAAGUGAAACCGCGAAAGGCUCAUUAAAUCAGUUAUGGUUCACUAGAUGGCACCAUAGACUCACGUGCGGGCAACCGCAUUAGAGCUGACUUGGAUAACUGUGGCAAUUCUAGAGCUAAUACAUGCAAAUCGAGUCCCGACCGCGACAAGUCGAGAGCGUGAGUUCUU
Molecule: ribosomal RNA, 254 nt
Filed under: uncultured eukaryote
Lineage: Eukaryota
Description: partial 18S ribosomal RNA
Rfam family: Eukaryotic small subunit ribosomal RNA
Source: RNAcentral